RNAcentral lists this ribosomal RNA (2847 nucleotides) under Escherichia coli. RNAcentral's name for it is "bacterial LSU rRNA". It matches the Rfam family "Bacterial large subunit ribosomal RNA". The record is from RNAcentral. Lineage: Bacteria; Pseudomonadati; Pseudomonadota; Gammaproteobacteria; Enterobacterales; Enterobacteriaceae.
GGGUUGUGAGGUUAAGCGACUAAGCGUACACGGUGGAUGCCCUGGCAGUCAGAGGCGAUGAAGGACGUGCUAAUCUGCGAUAAGCGUCGGUAAGGUGAUAUGAACCGUUAUAACCGGCGAUUUCCGAAUGGGGAAACCCAGUGUGAUUCGUCACACUAUCAUUAACUGAAUCCAUAGGUUAAUGAGGCGAACCGGGGGAACUGAAACAUCUAAGUACCCCGAGGAAAAGAAAUCAACCGAGAUUCCCCCAGUAGCGGCGAGCGAACGGGGAGCAGCCCAGAGCCUGAAUCAGUGUGUGUGUUAGUGGAAGCGUCUGGAAAGGCGCGCGAUACAGGGUGACAGCCCCGUACACAAAAAUGCACAUGCUGUGAGCUCGAUGAGUAGGGCGGGACACGUGGUAUCCUGUCUGAAUAUGGGGGGACCAUCCUCCAAGGCUAAAUACUCCUGACUGACCGAUAGUGAACCAGUACCGUGAGGGAAAGGCGAAAAGAACCCCGGCGAGGGGAGUGAAAAAGAACCUGAAACCGUGUACGUACAAGCAGUGGGAGCACAGAGCAAUCUGUGUGACUGCGUACCUUUUGUAUAAUGGGUCAGCGACUUAUAUUCUGUAGCAAGGUUAACCGAAUAGGGGAGCCGAAGGGAAACCGAGUCUUAACUGGGCGUUAAGUUGCAGGGUAUAGACCCGAAACCCGGUGAUCUAGCCAUGGGCAGGUUGAAGGUUGGGUAACACUAACUGGAGGACCGAACCGACUAAUGUUGAAAAAUUAGCGGAUGACUUGUGGCUGGGGGUGAAAGGCCAAUCAAACCGGGAGAUAGCUGGUUCUCCCCGAAAGCUAUUUAGGUAGCGCCUCGUGAAUUCAUCUCCGGGGGUAGAGCACUGUUUCGGCAAGGGGGUCAUCCCGACUUACCAACCCGAUGCAAACUGCGAAUACCGGAGAAUGUUAUCACGGGAGACACACGGCGGGUGCUAACGUCCGUCGUGAAGAGGGAAACAACCCAGACCGCCAGCUAAGGUCCCAAAGUCAUGGUUAAGUGGGAAACGAUGUGGGAAGGCCCAGACAGCCAGGAUGUUGGCUUAGAAGCAGCCAUCAUUUAAAGAAAGCGUAAUAGCUCACUGGUCGAGUCGGCCUGCGCGGAAGAUGUAACGGGGCUAAACCAUGCACCGAAGCUGCGGCAGCGACGCUUAUGCGUUGUUGGGUAGGGGAGCGUUCUGUAAGCCUGUGAAGGUGUGCUGUGAGGCAUGCUGGAGGUAUCAGAAGUGCGAAUGCUGACAUAAGUAACGAUAAAGCGGGUGAAAAGCCCGCUCGCCGGAAGACCAAGGGUUCCUGUCCAACGUUAAUCGGGGCAGGGUGAGUCGACCCCUAAGGCGAGGCCGAAAGGCGUAGUCGAUGGGAAACAGGUUAAUAUUCCUGUACUUGGUGUUACUGCGAAGGGGGGACGGAGAAGGCUAUGUUGGCCGGGCGACGGUUGUCCCGGUUUAAGCGUGUAGGCUGGUUUUCCAGGCAAAUCCGGAAAAUCAAGGCUGAGGCGUGAUGACGAGGCACUACGGUGCUGAAGCAACAAAUGCCCUGCUUCCAGGAAAAGCCUCUAAGCAUCAGGUAACAUCAAAUCGUACCCCAAACCGACACAGGUGGUCAGGUAGAGAAUACCAAGGCGCUUGAGAGAACUCGGGUGAAGGAACUAGGCAAAAUGGUGCCGUAACUUCGGGAGAAGGCACGCUGAUAUGUAGGUGAAGUCCCUCGCGGAUGGAGCUGAAAUCAGUCGAAGAUACCAGCUGGCUGCAACUGUUUAUUAAAAACACAGCACUGUGCAAACACGAAAGUGGACGUAUACGGUGUGACGCCUGCCCGGUGCCGGAAGGUUAAUUGAUGGGGUCAGCGCAAGCGAAGCUCUUGAUCGAAGCCCCGGUAAACGGCGGCCGUAACUAUAACGGUCCUAAGGUAGCGAAAUUCCUUGUCGGGUAAGUUCCGACCUGCACGAAUGGCGUAAUGAUGGCCAGGCUGUCUCCACCCGAGACUCAGUGAAAUUGAACUCGCUGUGAAGAUGCAGUGUACCCGCGGCAAGACGGAAAGACCCCGUGAACCUUUACUAUAGCUUGACACUGAACAUUGAGCCUUGAUGUGUAGGAUAGGUGGGAGGCUUUGAAGUGUGGACGCCAGUCUGCAUGGAGCCGACCUUGAAAUACCACCCUUUAAUGUUUGAUGUUCUAACGUUGACCCGUAAUCCGGGUUGCGGACAGUGUCUGGUGGGUAGUUUGACUGGGGCGGUCUCCUCCUAAAGAGUAACGGAGGAGCACGAAGGUUGGCUAAUCCUGGUCGGACAUCAGGAGGUUAGUGCAAUGGCAUAAGCCAGCUUGACUGCGAGCGUGACGGCGCGAGCAGGUGCGAAAGCAGGUCAUAGUGAUCCGGUGGUUCUGAAUGGAAGGGCCAUCGCUCAACGGAUAAAAGGUACUCCGGGGAUAACAGGCUGAUACCGCCCAAGAGUUCAUAUCGACGGCGGUGUUUGGCACCUCGAUGUCGGCUCAUCACAUCCUGGGGCUGAAGUAGGUCCCAAGGGUAUGGCUGUUCGCCAUUUAAAGUGGUACGCGAGCUGGGUUUAGAACGUCGUGAGACAGUUCGGUCCCUAUCUGCCGUGGGCGCUGGAGAACUGAGGGGGGCUGCUCCUAGUACGAGAGGACCGGAGUGGACGCAUCACUGGUGUUCGGGUUGUCAUGCCAAUGGCACUGCCCGGUAGCUAAAUGCGGAAGAGAUAAGUGCUGAAAGCAUCUAAGCACGAAACUUGCCCCGAGAUGAGUUCUCCCUGACCCUUUAAGGGUCCUGAAGGAACGUUGAAGACGACGACGUUGAU